RNAcentral lists this transfer RNA (85 nucleotides) under Thermosulfurimonas marina. It matches the Rfam family "tRNA". Rfam says of the family: Transfer RNA (tRNA) molecules are approximately 80 nucleotides in length. Their secondary structure includes four short double-helical elements and three loops (D, anti-codon, and T loops). The record is from Rfam by way of RNAcentral. Lineage: Bacteria; Pseudomonadati; Thermodesulfobacteriota; Thermodesulfobacteria; Thermodesulfobacteriales; Thermodesulfobacteriaceae.
GCGGGAGUGGCGGAAUUGGCAGACGCUGCGGACUUAGGAUCCGCUGGGGUCUUUCCCCGUGGGGGUUCGAGUCCCCCCUCCCGCA